This 404-nucleotide ribosomal RNA is filed under the name Papilio aegeus websteri. RNAcentral describes it as "partial 16S ribosomal RNA". Lineage: Eukaryota; Metazoa; Arthropoda; Insecta; Lepidoptera; Papilionidae. The record is from RNAcentral.
GGCUGCAGUAUUUUGACUGUACAAAGGUAGCAUAAUCAAUAGUCUCUUAAUUGGUGACUUGUAUGAAAGAUUGGAUGAAAUAUAAACUGUCUCUAAUUGAUUUAUAAAAAUUAAUUUUUUAGUAAAAAAGCUAAAAUAAUUUUAAAAGACGAGAAGACCCUAUAGAGUUUAAUAUUUUAUUUAAUAAUUAUUAAUAUAUAUAAUUUUAAAAAUUAAAAUUAAAUAAAUUAUUUUGUUGGGGUGAUAAAAAAAUUAAAUUAACUUUUUUUGAUUAUAAACAUUAAUUUAUGGUUAAGUGAUCCAUUUGUAGUGAUUAAAAGAAAAAAUUACCUUAGGGAUAACAGCGUAAUUUUUUUUUUUAGUUCAAAUAGGAAAAAAAGUUUGCGACCUCGAUGUUGGAUUAA